This 537-nucleotide unclassified non-coding RNA is filed under the name Hevea brasiliensis (rubber tree). Lineage: Eukaryota; Viridiplantae; Streptophyta; Magnoliopsida; Malpighiales; Euphorbiaceae. The record is from RNAcentral.
GCUACAAUAUCGCAGUUCACAAACUGUCAAAAAGGAAAAACUACAAUUAGAAAUAAAGUAGAAUCAAGAAGCCAAUAUGGGAAAUAUUUGCAAAGGAAAUUAAAUAAUAAAAUUCAACAAUUGAACAAGACGACUACAAUUUAGUUGGCAGUGAUCAAUCAAUUGAUGAGAGAGGGGGAUGCAAAAGAAGAUAUCUUUGACAUUUCAAAAUUAAAGAUUUUAGCAGUGAAUUGAUGCAUUUCAUGCACAAAUAGAAAACAAAUUAUAUAAAACAAAAGAUAUCAGACUAGCAGGAUUCAAACUAUGUCUAAACAUCCAGAGAUAGUCAACAAUUCCCCUCCUCCUGUUUGGUUGCUGAGAAAAGUAAAAUAAAAAAUAAAUUAAUUAAGCAACAUAGUCUGAUUCAAUUACUAGCAGGCCUCCGAUUCUUUCAUCUUCCACGCCACAAACACUCUCAUUACCAUUUUCUUUGCUUAAAAUUUAAUAGCACGCCUCCGAUUUCUCUCAUCUUCCACGCCACAAGCACUCUCAUUACCA